Long non-coding RNA from Lutzomyia longipalpis, 913 nucleotides. RefSeq lists it as uncharacterized. The record is from RefSeq and is a predicted model, not a curated record. The transcript has 3 exons. Lineage: Eukaryota; Metazoa; Arthropoda; Insecta; Diptera; Psychodidae.
UAUUGUAGCCAUAUAAUAAGAAAAAAUUGAGAACCGAAAGGCACAACCUGCUGGAGGCAACUGAUUGGAAAUUGAUAGACGAACACCACAAAUAUUCCGUGGAAUCCCGCAUGUCUACAACCGGUCCAGCGGUGAUCUCCAAGAGCAUCUUAUUUUCAACAGCCCGGAUAUUUUCUGCAUCAGCUUUCCGGUGUGACACUGAAUUGCUCUAGCUAGAAGCUAUGGGUUAAUUAUAAGGUAAAACCCGGCGUUUCUCGGUGAUUUAAUAAUGGGAAAAUCACCAAGAUUUACUCUAAUGAGGUGUAAUUACUUUAAUUAAAAAGUAAGAAGGAAAUUUUUGAGGUAGGUCCCGUAAGUAAAGCCCAAAAAGCAUUUUUGGAGAACUCAUCAAAUUUUAUAUGGCGCCCUCAGUUGGGGGUUGGUGAAUUAAUUUUAAUUCAUAAAGAUGUUUAUUCAAGCUACCCUUGAGGGGCGGGAUUUCAAUAUGAUCCGAAUUAUGUUGCCCUAUGUCUUCAUGAGACCGUUAAUUACAUCUGGCCGGGGACAUCCUGUGUGGAAUUUUAAUGACUAACGAAAAGGGAAAAUUCACAUAAUCAACGCAUUACACAUGUCCUGAAUCAAAAUUUUCGUUCCCCCCUCUGUGUGGUGUCUAAUUAACAAAGCAAAUUGAAUUGAAUAUACAUCGUCAAUAGAAGUUUAUAGACACAUUGUAUGCAUACAGGGAUUAAUUUCACAGGGUAGGUAGGAUAAUCAUACACGGUGUUGCUUAUUAGCUUUUGAAUGAAUUACUAUAUUCCAUGGAAUAUUAGACUGUACCUACACAGAAGAUAAUUUUAUCAAUGUAUUUUUUUGCGUAAUAAAAAGUUUUUUGAGAUUAUUUCCUGUAUAAUUAAAUUGUUCCUCGGAGUUGUAA